GGAGAAAGGCAGGGGAACAUUUAGCCUGGAGAAGGCUCAGGGACAACAGAAGAGAGGAGUCAUCGGGAAGAGGGAUGAGUCGUGCUUGACUCGGCUCAAUUGGGCUGAACCAGGAGCGGUGGGAUACACUGCAAAGAUACAGGCUUAGGCCUCACGUCAGGGAAAACGUCCUCAAAAUGAGAGCUCUCCCAAGUGGAAUGAAUGGGCUGCCUCGGAAAGUACAGAGCUCUCGUUCUUUGCGGUUUUCCUAGAGGAGGCUGCUGGCUGACCAGGAAGGGAAUCUCAGCACGAUGUCCAAUGGCACUCGAUACACCCGGGGCCCCAGCUCGGGCAUCUUUAGCAGCGGCUACUUCCUGGCAUUUUCUGAUGGCAGCCCAGUGCGGGGUGGGGAUGAGAUCAGGGCCAGAACAGGCAGAGGCGGGCACAAGCCCGGGUAACUGGGGGUGGGGCACAGUGGGACAGAGUCUGGUGCGUCGUGACAUCCCAGGUCCGACCCCCCGGCGGGAGUGUCCGGCCCCCAGCUUCCCCGAAGCAGAAAUGACCAAGCCUUGGCGCUGCCCUGCUUCUCCCUGGGGACCUACCCGGCACCCUCCCAGGCUGAAGUUCCGGCCGUCCCCCUACAGUGGGACCCCUCUCCCCAACCUCAACAGGCUGCCCCUCCUCUUCCCAAGAUGCUCUGCUCCCGGCUCAGUCACGGGUAUCUCGCGCUGGAGCUGGGGGUGGGAAUGGGGGUGGGGACCGAGUAAAGCGGAAGUAUCCCUGGGGAGGUGGAGGUGGCAGGGACGCCUCCCUGCCCGACUGAGGCUGGGGUGGCCCCAGGAGCCCUCCCUCCCACUCUCUCCGUCCCGGCCCCCUCCCCCACCUCCCCGCUCCCCUCCAGCCCGGGGCCAGACAGGCAGCAGGACAGCAGACAGCGCCAGGGAGCCGCCAGGGUUCGUACUGGUCACUGCAGGCGCGGGACGACUCCUCGGUCAGUGUGGGCGCCACUGCAAGGCAAGGGGCAAGGGGCAACCAGGGUUGUCGGGGCGUCCGGGACCUAGAAGUCUCCUACUCCAACCCGCAGAGUCCCGGGAAUCUUCCCUCCAACAAGAGGGCCCACUUCGGCUUGGGGAAGCCGACCAUUCCCUGAGUCAGCCCACCCAGCUGUUGGACAGCUCUCUUUCUUCUCUUGGUGUUCCAAGUCUACCUCCAGGCCACUGUCCUCCAGUUCUGCCCUGGGGGGUCAGGCAGAACAAGUCUGAACUCUCUUGCCAAAACAGAUUUGGUCAGGGGACCUGGGUUUUUGUCCUGCUCUGCUAUUAUGGUUACCUUUAUAACUCUGGGCAAAUCACUUUAACCUCUCUGGGCCUCAGUUUCCCAGUUGUAAGAUCAAGGGUUUUGAUGAAACAAUCCCCCAAAUUCUCUCCAGUUCAGAACCCUAAAAUUCUAGCAAUGAUUAGAUCCAGGGCCCCUGGAACUUUAGGGGGUGGGAAUGGGGUCAGGUCUGAGUUUUGAGGAGGAUCUCAGAUGGGUACUGAGAAGGCUCCAGGGUUCA
This 1534-nucleotide long non-coding RNA is filed under the name Phascolarctos cinereus (koala). Its description in RNAcentral is "lncRNA (ENSPCIG00000033188.1)". The record is from RNAcentral. Lineage: Eukaryota; Metazoa; Chordata; Mammalia; Diprotodontia; Phascolarctidae.